RNAcentral lists this unclassified non-coding RNA (638 nucleotides) under Hevea brasiliensis (rubber tree). The record is from RNAcentral. Lineage: Eukaryota; Viridiplantae; Streptophyta; Magnoliopsida; Malpighiales; Euphorbiaceae.
GUUCCUUCAAUGUCAUCAAGCCAUGUGAGUUGGACGAUUUAACCCUCUUUUCAUUUCCAUGUAUGACAUUUUUUCACCUAAUGCUUGAAUUUAUCUCGUUUUAGUUUAGAAUAUAGGAAGCAUGCUUUUGUUUGGUUCCUCAAUAAUUUUAUCAACAAUGGCCAUCUUUUGGAUUCUCAUUGGUUUGGAAUAUGUAAUGUAUCUGAUAUAUGUCAUGGGCAAUGCAUGGUCUUGGCUUUUGUUGCAGCGCACUGAACGAGUUUACUUGUAUCUUUUGUUCCAAUCUUCAGGGUUUCACAUUGAAGACUGAUUUUUGAGUCUCUCUUAAAAAGAAGUCUGUGGAUUAGUUUGCAUAUUUCCUAAUAUUGGUAGGGAUCUUUUUGAGUGGUUUAUCAAAUACUUGUUUUGGCUUCAUGGUGUUUUUGAUAAUUUAUUAAAGUGACUGUUGGCCUGCUACCAACUUUCAUUUUAUUGAUUGCUCUAUGGUUUCGUGUAUAUUAUGAGUUCCCAAUUUUUUCUUUAUCUUUUGCUGUUGGAUUACAAGUGAUUCAUUUUCAUAAGUUGGUGGCUAUGAAAGGAGUGUUUUUACCCCAUUUUGCAACUCCCCUGCACCAUCACAUUCUGAGAAGCCUUUUUCU